This 486-nucleotide ribosomal RNA is filed under the name uncultured bacterium. RNAcentral's name for it is "partial 16S ribosomal RNA". It matches the Rfam family "Bacterial small subunit ribosomal RNA", at positions 28 to 507 of the family's 1533-position model. The record is from RNAcentral.
GAUGAACGCUGGCGGCGUGCCUAAUACAUGCAAGUCGAACGCUGGAAAUCUAGCUUGCUAGAUUGAAGGAGUGGCGAACGGGUGAGUAAUACAUAAGCAACCUACCCACGAAGACUGGGAUAAUCUCUGGAAACGGGGACUAAUACCGGAUAGGUAAUCGGAAGGCAUCUUCUGAUUAUUAAAGGUUAAAAACACUGGUGGAUGGGCUUAUGGCGCAUUAGUUAGUUGGUGAGGUAACGGCCCACCAAGACGAUGAUGCGUAGCCGGCCUGAGAGGGUGAACGGCCACAUUGGGACUGGGACACGGCCCAGACUCCUACGGGAGGCAGCAGUAGGGAAUUUUCGGCAAUGGGGGAAACCCUGACCGAGCAACGCCGCGUGAGUGAUGACGGCCUUCGGGUUGUAAAGCUCUGUCGUAAGGGAAGAACGGUAGAUAGAGAAUAUCUAAAUGACGGUACCUUACCAGAAAGCCACGGCUAACUACGUG